AUACGUAGGGGGCGAGCGUUGUCCGGAAUGAUUGGGCGUAAAGGGCGCGUAGGCGGCCCGGUAAGUCUGGAGUGAAAGUCCUGUUUUUAAGAUGGGAAUUGCUUUGGAUACUCUCGGGCUUGAGUGCAGGAGAGGUAAGUGGAAUUCCCAGUGUAGCGGUGAAAUGCGUAGAGAUUGGGAGGAACACCAGUGGCGAAGGCGACUUACUGGACUGUAACUGACGCUGAGGCGCGAAAGUGUGGGGAGCAAACAGGAUUAGAUACCCUGGUAGUCCACACUGUAAACGAUGAAUGCUAGGUGUAGGGGGUAUCGACCCCUUCUGUGCCGCAGUCAACACAAUAAGCAUUCCGCCUGGGGAGUACGGCCGCAAGGUUGAAACUCAAAGGAAUUGACGGGG
This 397-nucleotide ribosomal RNA is filed under the name uncultured bacterium. RNAcentral's name for it is "partial 16S ribosomal RNA". It matches the Rfam family "Bacterial small subunit ribosomal RNA", at positions 523 to 918 of the family's 1533-position model. The record is from RNAcentral.